GAUGAACGCUGGCGGCGUGCCUAAUACAUGCAAGUCGAGCGAACAGACGAGAAGCUUGCUCCUCUGAUGUUAGCGGCGGACGGGUGAGUAACACGUGGAUAACCUACCUAUAAGACUGGGAUAACUUCGGGAAACCGGAGCUAAUACCGGAUAAUAUAUUGAACCGCAUGGUUCAAUAGUGAAAGACGGUCUUGCUGUCACUUAUAGAUGGAUCCGCGCUGCAUUAGCUAGUUGGUAAGGUAACGGCUUACCAAGGCAACGAUGCAUAGCCGACCUGAGAGGGUGAUCGGCCACACUGGAACUGAGACACGGUCCAGACUCCUACGGGAGGCAGCAGUAGGGAAUCUUCCGCAAUGGGCGAAAGCCUGACGGAGCAACGCCGCGUGAGUGAUGAAGGUCUUCGGAUCGUAAAACUCUGUUAUUAGGGAAGAACAAAUGUGUAAGUAACUGUGCACAUCUUGACGGUACCUAAUCAGAAAGCCACGGCUAACUACGUG
Molecule: ribosomal RNA, 497 nt
Filed under: uncultured bacterium
Lineage: Bacteria
Description: partial 16S ribosomal RNA
Rfam family: Bacterial small subunit ribosomal RNA
Source: RNAcentral